AGUCACUGACAUUAGAUACCCGGGUAGUCCAGGGUGUAAACGCUGCCGACUUGGUGUUGGAGGCCCUUCGGGGGCAUUCAGUGCCGGAGAGAAGUUGUUAAGUCGGCCACUUGGGGAGUACGUCCGCAAGGAUGAAACUUAAAGGAAUUGGCGGGGGAGCACCGCAACGGGAGGAGCGUGCGGUUUAAUUGGAUUCAACGCCGAAAAACUCACCAGCAGCGACUGUUACAUGAAAGUCAGGUUGAUGACCUUACUAGAUUUUCAG
RNAcentral lists this ribosomal RNA (265 nucleotides) under uncultured archaeon. Its description in RNAcentral is "partial 16S ribosomal RNA". It matches the Rfam family "Archaeal small subunit ribosomal RNA", at positions 719 to 982 of the family's 1478-position model. The record is from RNAcentral.